RNAcentral lists this ribosomal RNA (398 nucleotides) under uncultured bacterium. RNAcentral describes it as "bacterial SSU rRNA". It matches the Rfam family "Bacterial small subunit ribosomal RNA", at positions 362 to 776 of the family's 1533-position model. The record is from RNAcentral.
UAUUGCACAAUGGGCGAAAGCCUGAUGCAGCAACGCCGCGUGCGCGAUGAAGGCCUUCGGGUCGUAAAGCGCUUUUCGGGGAGACGAGGAAGGACGGUAUCCCCGGAAUAAGGCUCGGCUAACUACGUGCCAGCAGCCGCGGUAAAACGUAGGAGCCAAGCGUUAUCCGAAUUCACUGGGCGUAAAGCGCGUGCAGGCGGCCUGGAAAGUUGGAUGUGAAAUCUCUCGGCUCAACUGGGAGAGGCCGUUCAAGACUAUCAGGCUCGAGGGCGACAGAGGGAGGUGGAAUUCCGGGUGUAGUGGUGAAAUGCGUAGAUAUCCGGAGGAACACCAGAGGCGAAGGCGACCUCCUGGGUCGUACCUGACGCUCAGACGCGAAAGCUAGGGGAGCAAACGGG